AGUGAACGCUGGCGGCAGGCCUAACACAUGCAAGUCGAACGGAAGCACAGUAAUUGCUCGUGCAUACGGGGGGGGAGUGGCGGGUGAUGGCGGAGAACAUGGGAGGUUACGGGGUCUUGGGGGAGAAAGCAGGGACUCAUACGCCAUUCGUGCAGAGGGCGAACGGGGGAGAGCAUCGGACCUCCGGAUAUCGGAUGAUCCUAUGUCGGAUUAGCUAGUUGGCGGGGUAAAGGCCUACCAAGGCGACGAUCCGUAGCUGGUCUGAGAGGAUGAUCAGCCACACUGGAACUGAGACACGGUCCAGACUCCUACGGGAGGCAGCAGUGGGGAAUAUUGGACAAUGGGCGAAAGCCUGAUCCAGCCAUGCCGCGUGGGUGAAGAAGGUCUUCGGAUUGUAAAGCCCUUUUAGUUGGGAAGAAAGGCAGUAAGUUAAUACCUCGCUGUUUUGACGGUACCAAAAGAAUAAGCACCGGCUAACUUCGUG
RNAcentral lists this ribosomal RNA (484 nucleotides) under uncultured bacterium. RNAcentral describes it as "partial 16S ribosomal RNA". It matches the Rfam family "Bacterial small subunit ribosomal RNA", at positions 29 to 507 of the family's 1533-position model. The record is from RNAcentral.